UGGGGAAUCUUGGACAAUGGGGGCAACCCUGAUCCAGCGAUGCCGCGUGAGCGAAGAAGGCCUUAGGGUUGUAAAGCUCUUUCGCCCGCGACGAUGAUGACGGUAGCGGGAGAAGAAGCCCCGGCUAACUCCGUGCCAGCAGCCGCGGUAAUACGGAGGGGGCUAGCGUUGUCCGGAAUUACUGGGCGUAAAGCGCGCGUAGGCGGUCCACCAAGUCGGGGGUGAAAGCCCGGGGCUCAACCCCGGAAUGUCCUCCGAGACUGUUGGACUGGAGUUCGGGAGAGGAUAGCGGAAUUCCCAGUGUAGAGGUGAAAUUCGUAGAUAUUGGGAAGAACACCGGUGGCGAAGGCGGCUCUCUGGCCCGCAACUGACGCUGAGGCGCGAAAGCGUGGGGAGCAAACA
This 402-nucleotide ribosomal RNA is filed under the name uncultured bacterium. Its description in RNAcentral is "bacterial SSU rRNA". It matches the Rfam family "Bacterial small subunit ribosomal RNA", at positions 355 to 774 of the family's 1533-position model. The record is from RNAcentral.